GGGGCUAUAGCUCAGUUGGCUAGAGCGCCUGUUUUGCACGCAGGAGGUCAACGGUUCGACUCCGUUUAGCUCCACCA
RNAcentral lists this transfer RNA (77 nucleotides) under Candidatus Peregrinibacteria bacterium. Its description in RNAcentral is "tRNA-Ala". It matches the Rfam family "tRNA". Rfam says of the family: Transfer RNA (tRNA) molecules are approximately 80 nucleotides in length. Their secondary structure includes four short double-helical elements and three loops (D, anti-codon, and T loops). The record is from RNAcentral. Lineage: Bacteria; Candidatus Peregrinibacteriota.